This 216-nucleotide long non-coding RNA is filed under the name Nicotiana benthamiana. RNAcentral describes it as "long non-coding RNA (NBEN_LNC036615)". Lineage: Eukaryota; Viridiplantae; Streptophyta; Magnoliopsida; Solanales; Solanaceae. The record is from RNAcentral.
AGUUUCAGGACACAUAAAUGAACGGCGAGAAUAUCAUUGCAAUCAGCAUCACAUCAAUGGCAACUGAUAAUUUUCUUCUCUUUUGGUCAACUAAACCGAACCAUGAAGAGAAUAUAUUUCAUGAUGGUUAGAGACUCGUGCUGAUAACGUGUUAUGAAAUAAUAUAAGAACAAGAACAAUAGAGAGAAAAGUAGAGAGAGAGGAGUAUUCUUAUUG